RNAcentral lists this transfer RNA (75 nucleotides) under bacterium. Its description in RNAcentral is "tRNA-Thr". It matches the Rfam family "tRNA". Rfam says of the family: Transfer RNA (tRNA) molecules are approximately 80 nucleotides in length. Their secondary structure includes four short double-helical elements and three loops (D, anti-codon, and T loops). The record is from RNAcentral. RNAcentral also lists the same sequence under 3 other names.
GCCGCUGUAGCUCAGGGGUAGAGCAAUUCACUCGUAAUGAAUAGGUCGACGGUUCAAUUCCGUCCAGCGGCUCCA